AAAUGUAAGUUCCAAAAAUCAAUAGCAAUGACUAAGGAUAUAUAUGCAUCUCCUCAUUCCCAUUACGCACUGCCAAAUUCCGGUGUUCGAAGUCGUAACCUGGUGGUGCCAUUUCAAACCUUACAGCACCAUAGAUUAUGGUAUUUUCAACUGCUUCGUACUUUUCAAUUCCCUGUCGUUCCAUUAUUCUUAUGGGACAAUUGAUGAUCUGCAAGGUUCUCAAAGUUUCUGCCGAGUUUUCAAGCCAUUGGGGUAAUCUUUCCACUCUUGGAAGCUCUUUGAUCGUGAAUCUUUGAAGCUUGAAUUCCACUUCUUUUAAGUUUAGUGUAAGUUGCUUGCAACUCCAAAUCAUCAAAUUUUGUAGUGAUUUUAGAUAUCUCAUCUCGUCUGGCAACAAUUUCAAGGUAGUGCAAUUAUAUAUCAUUAGGGUUUCGAGGCCUGCAAGGCAAUCUGGGCGUUCAAAUAGAUUUUCUAGGUUAUUGCACCCUCCAAUGGCAAGAAACCGCAGAGAAUUCAUGGUUCCAACUCCGUUUUUGUCCAGACGAAGCUUGUUUGUUGUUACCCACAAGUAUCUCAGGCUGAUCAAAUUCCUUAUAUCCUUGGGCAGGUCUUCAAGUGCGGAACAAGAUCCAAGAAUUAAGGUUUGCAAACUUUGUAGAUUACAUAUUGAAUUUGGUAGAUGCUUGAUUUUCGUAUUGCCAUGCAAGUCGAGGUAUCUCAGGUACUUGAGUGUUCCUAUGGAAUUUGGAAUUUCCUGUAGGUCUGCAUUGCUUAAAUACAACAAUCUUAACCCUUUGUACUUCCAGAUGCACUUUUCAGUUAGGGAUGCAUUAGGUAGCACCAUAUUUCUUUCUUGAAAGGCUAUGGAUCUUAUUUCAGUGACUUCUUUGGGAUGAUUGUUGCCCCCCGAGCCCUCAGAUUGUUCUUGUGUGAUUUUGUGUGCAAGUUUUUGGAUGAGAGGGUGCAAUUUAAUCCAGUAGCCAAGCCCAUGUUCUUCAAUUUCUUGAAUGAAAUAUCUUGACCAUAGCUCCAUGAAGUACUUCUCACCUAUAUUUUCCAUAGUUGAGUUCUUCUCUUCAGGUGAAUGGAGGAGCCCAUUUGCCAUCCAUAACUGAAUCAUAUCAUUUGAAGAAAUUAUGCGAUCGUUAGGUAAUUGAGAACAAUGCAGAAAACAAGGCUUCAGUUGUGAGGGCAUUUGAUCAUAGCAAACUCUGAGUACAUGUAAAAUACCGUUUUCCUUUUUCUCUUGGAGCGACAACUUUUCCUCGAUGUUUUUCCACUUGGCUAUGCUAGUUUCUGAAGAUAGCAAGCUUCCUAGACACUUUAUUGCCAAAGGAACUCCCAUGCAUUUCUCCAAAAGUUGAUCAACUAUUUUAGUGAGUUCUGGAUUUUCUACUUCUUGUCUGUUUCUGAAAGCAUAUUCUUUGAAUAAACGAGAUGAACUUUGCUUUGACAGUUUCUCAAGUUUGAAAAUUGUUUGAUAUUCCGUAUCAUCUUGCUUUAUCGGUGGGAUAUCUGGAUUGAUCCCCAAGCCAAUAUUAGUAUCUUCUGUAACUUGUGGAAUUGGAACUUCUAGAUUCUGAGCAUCUUCUGUUAAUGAUAGGCUGUGUUCAUAGAUUUUGUUUGCUAUAGCGUCUGCAGUUUCCUCAAUUUGUGAACCUGGAACUGCUUGGUUCUGGGUAUUUUUUGUUAACGACUGAUUGUGUGCAGAUACUCUGUCACCAUUCGCCAGAUUUUCCUUUGAUCGUCUCUCAGUCUUGUAGCCACGGUCUUGUAAAUAAUUUGCAAUUUCCUCAGUUUGUGUGGUCACUAUGAUCUUGCUGCCAUGUUGUCCCAUCUCCAAUAAUUCAUUUAACACUAAAGGGGAACGAUCUUUCAAGUUGGUGAUUGAAAGGUCUUGAAAGACGAGCAAAAAAGUUUCCACUUUCAGAAGUCGUUUAACCUUAGAAAGCAAUUGUUCUGUCGUCAAGUCCUCGCAAAUUUCUUUAUUGUCUGCAUGACUGUAAACCUCCUUCACCAAUCUAUGUUUAUUAAAGCCUUCCUCCACACAAACCCAGUAUCUUGAAGUAUACUUACCAACUACAUUGUUAUGAUUGUACAAGAAUCUGGCCACUGUGCUCUUACCUAUACCGGCUUCCCCAACUAUGUGGAAUACAUGAGUACAUUCAUUGAAAACAUUCAAAAUUCCAUCAUAUAUUUCGUCAUAUGUUCUGGAAGCAUCUAUUAAAGGGUAAAGCAAUUGCCAACUUGGUUUCAGGUGUCUUAUUGAAAUUUCUGAAGCACUAGGGAAAGUGUGUGUUGUCUCCAUACUUAUGGAAUCAAUGUGCUUUACUUUGAGAUGAAAUUCAUACAUUCUGGUUGCAAUGUUAUUGAGUUCGUCGCAUACUUGCUUCCUUUUACAUUUCUGUUUCAAUUUAUUUGCAGAAAUUUGAUUAGAGCACGAGAAAGGGGCAAGUACCUGUUUUCCAAUGUCCUUUUGUUUGAAGAUUUCCCAUUUGAAUUCAUCUAUGGAGUCCUCAACUUGGUAAAAGACAUUUUGAAGUUCCUUUAGCCAGUUCUGUAGACGUUGAUUU
RNAcentral lists this long non-coding RNA (2573 nucleotides) under Cucumis sativus (cucumber). RNAcentral's name for it is "long non-coding RNA (CSAT_LNC001261)". Lineage: Eukaryota; Viridiplantae; Streptophyta; Magnoliopsida; Cucurbitales; Cucurbitaceae. The record is from RNAcentral.